UACGUAUGGAGCAAGCGUUAUCCGGAUUUACUGGGCGUAAAGGGAGCGUAGGCGGCCUGCCAAGUCUGAUGUGAAAUACCGGGGCUCAACCCCGGGGCUGCAUUGGAAACUGGCAGGCUGGAGUGCCGGAGAGGCAGGCGGAAUUCCUAGUGUAGCGGUGAAAUGCGUAGAUAUCACACAGAACACCGAUUGCGAAGGCAUCUCACGAAUCCGCGAUUGACGCUGAUGCACGAAAGCGUGGGUAUCAAACAGG
RNAcentral lists this ribosomal RNA (253 nucleotides) under uncultured Lachnospiraceae bacterium. RNAcentral's name for it is "partial 16S ribosomal RNA". It matches the Rfam family "Bacterial small subunit ribosomal RNA", at positions 524 to 776 of the family's 1533-position model. The record is from RNAcentral. Lineage: Bacteria; Bacillati; Bacillota; Clostridia; Lachnospirales; Lachnospiraceae.